AUGCCACCUUCCGUGCACGACACGGAAGGCCUGCCGUUCAUGAAGCAUGGUUGUGUCUUUCGUGCGCACCGCCGGAUGAACGACAUGCUGGGACACGCUAUCCCUGAUUUAUGUCGCUUCAGCUUGGAUGAGUCUCCAUCGUGUGGAACCGGACUAGAAAGCUGCGACAAUAAUUCCCGUUGCCCACCGCUAUGGAUCGUGCCAUCCAUGAAGAACGCCUGGGACUGGAACCUGGAGGAGGACAUCACGACCCUCUUUUGUUGGACUGUUGUUAGUUUGAAGCACUCCUCUGGCUUGAAGGAUAGAUACCUUUCUGGGAUCAAGUGCAUCCUAACUCACCUGCGCAGGAUAAUUAACCCAUGCAAGUCAAAGAAGGAUUGGCCGGUGCUGCCGGCUGGCGUCAAGUUCGAUCCCACGGAUCAGGAGCUAAUCGAGCACCUUGAGGCCAAAGUGAGUGCUGACAGCGCGAGAUCUCACCCUCUCAUCGAUUUGUUCAUACCAACCAUCGACAGCGAGCACGGCAUAUGCUACACCCAUCCUAAGAAAUUUCCAGGUAUCCCACUGAGUGGCCUAAGCAAGCAUUUCUUCCAGCGCAAUUCCAGGGCGUUCAAAAGGGGCACGUGGACGCGUCGCAAGAUACAGUCGGAGUGCGGCAUGCAUGCGAUGUGGCACAACACCGACAAUACCUUGCCGGUGAUGGUCAACGGCCGGUAG
Molecule: ribosomal RNA, 714 nt
Filed under: Triticum aestivum (bread wheat)
Lineage: Eukaryota; Viridiplantae; Streptophyta; Magnoliopsida; Poales; Poaceae
Description: partial small subunit ribosomal RNA
Source: RNAcentral